RNAcentral lists this long non-coding RNA (613 nucleotides) under Zonotrichia albicollis (white-throated sparrow). RNAcentral's name for it is "lncRNA (ENSZALG00000010442.1)". The record is from RNAcentral. Lineage: Eukaryota; Metazoa; Chordata; Aves; Passeriformes; Passerellidae.
AGGGAACAGGCAACACCUCAGCCACUGCAGCAACUGGGGACCAUGAGCCUGCCCUUCCAAAAGCCAGGCUUCCAGGCUCCUGAGGCUGCCAGGCAAAGCCACAGCCCAGCCUGUAACCCUACACCUUAGCACCUCCCUCAUUACAGAUGUACUGCUGUACUGACCUCUCACUCCAGGAUGGUUGGCAGCUGUGCCGCCCUGUGUUUGUGGGUGUCUGGCACAAAGGAACUUGAAGACUUGCUCCAGAAUUCAUCAGGUCCGCUUCCUCAGUGAUCACAGUUAAUGGAGAUACAAACAGGAGACGGGCCACAGAAGUGUUUCCUGCCUGGUGUUGCUCAGGAUGAAGCACUGAAUUAAUAUCUGAUUGCUCAACACACUGGGGUCAUAUUUUUUAUUGUUCAUUUCAGUCUGCUUAAAUGGCGAUUGAUUUGAAAUUUGAAAGCCCAUAUUUCAUGAGCUUUUGUGGGAUACGCUGUUUUCAAAUUUGAUCAAGUAUCGUUAGCCUCACUAAGAUUCUCCUGUCCCUCUCUCCGUGGAUUCCAUCAAGGUUUAGAUGAAAUUCCAUCUUGUUCCUCCCCUACAGUGAGGUGCCAAGACCACCGAGGUCUCUGAG